Molecule: long non-coding RNA, 545 nt
Organism: Exaiptasia diaphana
Lineage: Eukaryota; Metazoa; Cnidaria; Anthozoa; Actiniaria; Aiptasiidae
Exons: 2
Source: RefSeq, a predicted model, not a curated record
UGAUAUGAGUUGAGGCAUUUAUUCCGGCAGAAACAAGACCCAAAGGCUAAGACUCACAAGUAGAAAGAUGAACGUCUCUAUGUUAAUAGCCGCUGUACUUGUACUGGGUGUUGUCUUACCUCACACGAACGCAUGGAAAUGUGCAAGUUUUUGUAAUGCAGAAGUUCACAAGUGUUUCACGUCGUGCGUUGGCUUUGAAGGAUGCAAGUCGUGCGUAAAUUCGGCCGAUAAUUGUCGAAACGAAUGUCGUCGUCGUCGCGAAUUAGGAGAGGAUUUGCACAAGCGAUUUCAACUCACACCGGAGGACAAAUCACAAUAGGCCUGACGCAAAUUUAAGGAGAUGAGAAUUUUAAUGUCUAUAGGGACUGAUCGUACUUGUAUGUUAGUGAGUCUAUACACUGGAAGCUUAAGUUUACUACACGCAUGUAAGCUUGUGUUAUUCUUUGAUUGUUUAGACUAGCAAGUUUAUUGGGAAAUGAGUCUUUUAAGUUGUUAAGCUGAAUUUAGGGUUUAUUCGUAUUGAAUAAAGGAAUUUUAAAACUAAA